Molecule: ribosomal RNA, 446 nt
Filed under: uncultured bacterium
Lineage: Bacteria
Description: bacterial SSU rRNA
Rfam family: Bacterial small subunit ribosomal RNA
Source: RNAcentral
AACGCGAAGAACCUUACCUGGGCUAGAAUGCGCGGGAAGAGCAUGCAAAACAGGCUCGUCUGGGGUAACACUCAGACCCAAAGCAAGGUGCUGCAUGGCUGUCGUCAGCUCGUGUCGUGAGAUGUUGGGUUAAGUCCCGCAACGAGCGCAACCCUUACCGCUAGUUGCUACAGUUCGGCUGAGCACUCUAGUGGAACCGCUGGUGAUAAACUGGAGGAAGGUGGGGACGACGUCAAGUCAUCAUGGCCUUUAUGUCCAGGGCUACACACGUGCUACAAUGGUCGGUACAGAGGGCAGCAAACCCGCGAGGGGAAGCCAAUCUCAAAAAACCGGCCUCAGUUCGGAUUGCAGUCUGCAACUCGACUGCAUGAAGUUGGAAUCGCUAGUAAUCGCGGAUCAGCACGCCGCGGUGAAUACGUUCCCGGGCCUUGUACACACCGUAGUAC